CCUACGGGAGGCAGCAGUGAGGAAUAUUGGUCAAUGGACGAGAGUCUGAACCAGCCAAGUAGCGUGAAGGAUGACUGCCCUAUGGGUUGUAAACUUCUUUUAUAUGGGAAUAAAACGUUCCACGUGUGGGAUUUUGUAUGUACUAUAUGAAUAAGGAUCGGCUAACUCCGUGCCAGCAGCCGCGGUAAUACGGAGGAUCCGAGCGUUAUCCGGAUUUAUUGGGUUUAACGGGAGCGUAGGUGGAUUGUUAAGUCAGUUGUGAAAGUUUGCGGCUCAACCGUAAAAUUGCAGUUGAAACUGGCAGUCUUGAGUACAGUAGAGGUCGGCGGAAUUCGUGGUGUAGCGGUGAAAUGCUUAGAUAUCACGAAGAACUCCGAUUGCGAAGGCAGUUCACUGGACUGCAACUGACACUGAGGCUCGAAAGUGUGGGUAUCAAACAGGAUUAGAUACCCCUGUAGUC
This 460-nucleotide ribosomal RNA is filed under the name uncultured bacterium. RNAcentral's name for it is "partial 16S ribosomal RNA". It matches the Rfam family "Bacterial small subunit ribosomal RNA", at positions 338 to 795 of the family's 1533-position model. The record is from RNAcentral.